This 254-nucleotide ribosomal RNA is filed under the name uncultured bacterium. RNAcentral's name for it is "partial 16S ribosomal RNA". It matches the Rfam family "Bacterial small subunit ribosomal RNA", at positions 524 to 776 of the family's 1533-position model. The record is from RNAcentral.
UACGUAGGGUGCAAGCGUUGUCCGGAAUCAUUGGGCGUAAAGAGCGUGUAGGCGGCCCGAUUAGUCCGCUGUGAAAGUCCAGGGCUCAACCCUGGAAUGCCGGUGGAUACUGUCGGGCUAGAGUCCGGAAGGGGCGAGUGGAAUUCCUGGUGUAGCGGUGAAAUGCGCAGGUAUCAGGAGGAACACCGGUGGCGAAGGCGGGUCUCUGGGCCGUUACUGGACGCUGAGGAGCGAAAGCGUGGGGAGCGAACAGG